GCUGGUACUCAUUGAACACUAACAGAAACAAGAACCAUAGAGUAGGGGUUGUUAUAACCGUCAUAAGGUUGUUAUAACAUGCUAACGAAACCACAGGCAAUGUUGUUAUAACCACAUGGUAAGGUUAUAACUAUAGGCCGGGUUGUUAUAACCACAUGGUGAGGUUAUAACUAUAGGCCGGGUUGUUAUAACCACAUGGUGAGGUUAUAACUAUAGGCAGGGUUGUUAUAACCACAUGGUGAGGUUAUAACUAUAGGCAGGGUUGUUAUAACCAUAUGGUAAGGUUAUAACUAUAGGCAGGGUUGUUAUAAACAGGUAAUAUGGGUUAUAAUACACUAAUGAGCCAUAGGCAGGGUUGUUAUAACCACAUGGUGAGGUUAUAACUAUAGGCAGGGUUGUUAUAACCACAUGGUGAGGUUAUAACUAUAGGCAGGGUUGUUAUAACGACAUGGUGAGGUUAUAACUAUAGGCAGGGUUGUUAUAACCAUAUGGUAAGGUUAUAACUAUAGGCAGGGUUGUUAUAAACAGGUAAUAUGGGUUAUAAUACACUAAUGAGCCAUAGGCAGGGUUGUUAUAACCACAUGGUGAGGUUAUAACUAUAGGCAGGGUUGUUAUAACCACAUGGUGAGGUUAUAACUAUAGGCAGGGUUGUUAUAACGACAUGGUGAGGUUAUAACUAUAGGCAGGGUUGUUAUAACCAUAUGGUAAGGUUAUAACUAUAGGCAGGGUUGUUAUAACCACAUGGUGAGGUUAUAACUAUAGGCAGGGUUGUUAUAACCACAUGGUGAGGUUAUAACUAUAGGCAGGGUUGUUAUAACCACAUGGUGAGGUUAUAACUAUAGGCAGGGUUGUUAUAACCACAUGGUGAGGUUAUAACUAUAGGCAGGGUUGUUAUGACUUCGGUUAAUCACAUAAAUAAAGCUAAUUAAAUAUGUUUUUAGAAAUAGUGUUCAGAUAAUAUAGACAUAUAUAAUAUAGACAUAUACUGUCAUAACAGUAUACUAGUAUAAGGAACUACAACCCUUUGAGAGAAACAGAACUGACUUGGUAAUAUAAACACAGUGCAGUAUGAUUACCUACCUGCUCUCAGGUAACACAGUAUGAUU
Molecule: long non-coding RNA, 1106 nt
Organism: Oncorhynchus keta (chum salmon)
Lineage: Eukaryota; Metazoa; Chordata; Actinopteri; Salmoniformes; Salmonidae
Exons: 4
Source: RefSeq, a predicted model, not a curated record